AUACACGCAAUGAACGGGAGCAGUAGACGGCUAAGGUGAACAGAGAGCUGCGGGUGGUGCGACGCAGUCACCGGAGGCCGGCGAAUCUCGCCCGUGAGCGGAACGGCGGAAAGAGCUUCAAGUACGCCGUUACGGAGGUCCCCGUUACCGGACUGUUCGUAUCCCCCGGGCUACCCUUACGGGAGCAGGGAGAUAUGAAGCGGAGCUGGACGCAGCUUGGGCUGCCUGAAUGGAAUGAGGUUCAGGAGCCUAUGCGUCAAAAAGAGUGGUACCGCGGAGGGGUGACCCGCCGUCUCUUUA
RNAcentral lists this non-coding RNA (300 nucleotides) under Paenibacillus sp. Its description in RNAcentral is "T-box sequence". It matches the Rfam family "T-box leader". From Rfam's summary of the family: Uncharged tRNA acts as the effector for transcription antitermination of genes in the T-box leader family. T-boxes are found upstream of many aminoacyl-tRNA synthetase genes and some amino acid biosynthetic genes usually in Gram-positive bacteria. Lineage: Bacteria; Bacillati; Bacillota; Bacilli; Caryophanales; Paenibacillaceae. The record is from RNAcentral.